RNAcentral lists this ribosomal RNA (2925 nucleotides) under Klebsiella aerogenes. RNAcentral's name for it is "23S ribosomal RNA". It matches the Rfam family "Bacterial large subunit ribosomal RNA". Lineage: Bacteria; Pseudomonadati; Pseudomonadota; Gammaproteobacteria; Enterobacterales; Enterobacteriaceae. The record is from RNAcentral.
GGGUUGUGAGGUUAAGCGACUAAGCGUACACGGUGGAUGCCCUGGCAGUCAGAGGCGAUGAAGGACGUGCUAAUCUGCGAAAAGCGUCGGUAAGGUGAUAUGAACCGUUACAGCCGGCGAUGUCCGAAUGGGGAAACCCAGUGUGAUUCGUCACACUAUCGUUAACUGAAUACAUAGGUUAACGAGGCGAACCGGGGGAACUGAAACAUCUAAGUACCCCGAGGAAAAGAAAUCAACCGAGAUUCCCCCAGUAGCGGCGAGCGAACGGGGAGCAGCCCAGAGUCUGAAUCAGCUUGUGUGUUAGUGGAACGGUCUGGAAAGUCCGACGGUACAGGGUGAUAGUCCCGUACACCAAAAUGCACAGGUUGUGAACUCGAAGAGUAGGGCGGGACACGUGGUAUCCUGUCUGAAUAUGGGGGGACCAUCCUCCAAGGCUAAAUACUCCUGACUGACCGAUAGUGAACCAGUACCGUGAGGGAAAGGCGAAAAGAACCCCGGCGAGGGGAGUGAAAAAGAACCUGAAACCGUGUACGUACAAGCAGUGGGAGCACCUUCGGGUGUGACUGCGUACCUUUUGUAUAAUGGGUCAGCGACUUAUAUUCUGUAGCAAGGUUAACCGUAUAGGGGAGCCGCAGGGAAACCGAGUCUUAACUGGGCGUUAAGUUGCAGGGUAUAGACCCGAAACCCGGUGAUCUAGCCAUGGGCAGGUUGAAGGUUGGGUAACACUAACUGGAGGACCGAACCGACUAAUGUUGAAAAAUUAGCGGAUGACUUGUGGCUGGGGGUGAAAGGCCAAUCAAACCGGGAGAUAGCUGGUUCUCCCCGAAAGCUAUUUAGGUAGCGCCUCGUGAACUCAUCUUCGGGGGUAGAGCACUGUUUCGGCUAGGGGGUCAUCCCGACUUACCAACCCGAUGCAAACUACGAAUACCGAAGAAUGUUAUCACGGGAGACACACGGCGGGUGCUAACGUCCGUCGUGAAGAGGGAAACAACCCAGACCGCCAGCUAAGGUCCCAAAGUCACAGUUAAGUGGGAAACGAUGUGGGAAGGCACAGACAGCCAGGAUGUUGGCUUAGAAGCAGCCAUCAUUUAAAGAAAGCGUAAUAGCUCACUGGUCGAGUCGGCCUGCGCGGAAGAUGUAACGGGGCUAAACUGUGCACCGAAGCUGCGGCAGCGACACUAUGUGUUGUUGGGUAGGGGAGCGUUCUGUAAGCCUGCGAAGGUGGCCUGUGAGGGUUGCUGGAGGUAUCAGAAGUGCGAAUGCUGACAUAAGUAACGAUAAUGCGGGUGAAAAGCCCGCACGCCGGAAGACCAAGGGUUCCUGUCCAACGUUAAUCGGGGCAGGGUGAGUCGACCCCUAAGGCGAGGCCGAAAGGCGUAGUCGAUGGGAAACAGGUUAAUAUUCCUGUACUUGGUGUUACUGCGAAGGGGGGACGGAGAAGGCUAUGUUAGCCGGGCGACGGUUGUCCCGGUUUAAGCAUGUAGGCGGAGGUUCCAGGUAAAUCCGGUACCUUUUAACGCUGAGGUGUGAUGACGAGGCACUACGGUGCUGAAGUAACAAAUGCCCUGCUUCCAGGAAAAGCCUCUAAGCAUCAGGUAACAUUAAAUCGUACCCCAAACCGACACAGGUGGUCAGGUAGAGAAUACCAAGGCGCUUGAGAGAACUCGGGUGAAGGAACUAGGCAAAAUGGUGCCGUAACUUCGGGAGAAGGCACGCUGAUAUGUAGGUGAAGCCCCUGCGGGUGGAGCUGAAAUCAGUCGAAGAUACCAGCUGGCUGCAACUGUUUAUUAAAAACACAGCACUGUGCAAACACGAAAGUGGACGUAUACGGUGUGACGCCUGCCCGGUGCCGGAAGGUUAAUUGAUGGGGUUAUCCGUAAGGAGAAGCUCUUGAUCGAAGCCCCGGUAAACGGCGGCCGUAACUAUAACGGUCCUAAGGUAGCGAAAUUCCUUGUCGGGUAAGUUCCGACCUGCACGAAUGGCGUAAUGAUGGCCAGGCUGUCUCCACCCGAGACUCAGUGAAAUUGAACUCGCUGUGAAGAUGCAGUGUACCCGCGGCAAGACGGAAAGACCCCGUGAACCUUUACUAUAGCUUGACACUGAACAUUGAGCCUUGAUGUGUAGGAUAGGUGGGAGGCUUUGAAACGUGGACGCCAGUCUGCGUGGAGCCAACCUUGAAAUACCACCCUUUAAUGUUUGAUGUUCUAACGUUGGCCCCUGACCGGGGUUGCGGACAGUGUCUGGUGGGUAGUUUGACUGGGGCGGUCUCCUCCCAAAGAGUAACGGAGGAGCACGAAGGUUAGCUAAUCCUGGUCGGACAUCAGGAGGUUAGUGCAAUGGCAUAAGCUAGCUUGACUGCGAGCGUGACGGCGCGAGCAGGUGCGAAAGCAGGUCAUAGUGAUCCGGUGGUUCUGAAUGGAAGGGCCAUCGCUCAACGGAUAAAAGGUACUCCGGGGAUAACAGGCUGAUACCGCCCAAGAGUUCAUAUCGACGGCGGUGUUUGGCACCUCGAUGUCGGCUCAUCACAUCCUGGGGCUGAAGUAGGUCCCAAGGGUAUGGCUGUUCGCCAUUUAAAGUGGUACGCGAGCUGGGUUUAGAACGUCGUGAGACAGUUCGGUCCCUAUCUGCCGUGGGCGCUGGAGAAUUGAGGGGGGCUGCUCCUAGUACGAGAGGACCGGAGUGGACGCAUCACUGGUGUUCGGGUUGUCAUGCCAAUGGCAUUGCCCGGUAGCUAAAUGCGGAAGAGAUAAGUGCUGAAAGCAUCUAAGCACGAAACUUGCCCCGAGAUGAGUUCUCCCUGAGACUUUAAGUCUCCUGAAGGAACGUUAAAGACGAUGACGUUGAUAGGUCGGGUGUGUAAGCGUAGCGAUACGUUGAGCUAACCGAUACUAAUGAACCGUGAGGCUUAACCUUACAACGCCGAAG